GGGUGCAAGUUCAAUGCUAGAUUUACCUCUUCGGUUCAUAAUUAAAAAAGCCAUUUUUUCUAUCUCUUCAGAUUUGCCCUAUGGCUGCAGUUGGAUUUGGGUGAUCCUCGCUUCCUUUGAAUAAGGAAAAGUCAAUUUUUCUUGAGGAUGAGGAGGAUUAUCAUACUCUACUCAAUCUUAAAGUACCAGAGCUGAAAGAAAUGGUGACUGAGCAAACUCUUUAUGACAUUGAC
This 233-nucleotide long non-coding RNA is filed under the name Elaeis guineensis (African oil palm). Its description in RNAcentral is "long non-coding RNA (EGUI_LNC055162)". The record is from RNAcentral. Lineage: Eukaryota; Viridiplantae; Streptophyta; Magnoliopsida; Arecales; Arecaceae.